Molecule: ribosomal RNA, 603 nt
Filed under: uncultured archaeon
Lineage: Archaea
Description: bacterial SSU rRNA
Rfam family: Archaeal small subunit ribosomal RNA
Source: RNAcentral
CGAUAGGCGAGGAAUCCUGGAAUGGUUCUUCACCCAAAGGACACUGGAAACAUGCUUUCUCUGUCGCCUGGGGAUGGGGCCGCGUCCGAUCAGGUGGUUGGUGAGGUAAUGGCUCACCAAGCCUUUAACCGGUACGGGCCGUGAGAGCGGUAGCCCGGAGAUGGGUACUGAGACAAGGACCCAGGCCCUACGGGGCGCAGCAGUCGCGAAAACUCCGCAAUGCACGAAAGUGUGACGGGGCUACCCCGAGUGCCGUCCGCUGAGGAUGGCUUUUCCUUGGUGUAACUAGCCGGGGGAAUAAGGAGAGGGCAAGACUGGUGUCAGCCGCCGCGGUAAUACCAGCUCUCCGAGUGGUAGGGAUGAUUAUUGGGCUUAAAGCGUCCGUAGCCGGCUUAGCAAGUUUCCUGUUAAAUUCAGCGACCUAAUCGUUGAGCCGCGGGAAAUACUACUAGGCUAGGAGGCGGGAGAGGUCGACGGUACUUCUGGGGUAGGGGUGAAAUCCUAUAAUCCCGGGAGGACCACCAGUGGCGAAGGCUGUCGACUAGAACGCGCUCGACGGUGAGGGACGAAAGCUGGGGGAGCGAACCGGAUUAGAUACCCGGG